Molecule: transfer RNA, 72 nt
Organism: Aspergillus versicolor CBS 583.65
Lineage: Eukaryota; Fungi; Ascomycota; Eurotiomycetes; Eurotiales; Aspergillaceae
Rfam family: tRNA
About the family: Transfer RNA (tRNA) molecules are approximately 80 nucleotides in length. Their secondary structure includes four short double-helical elements and three loops (D, anti-codon, and T loops). Further hydrogen bonds mediate the characteristic L-shaped molecular structure. tRNAs have two regions of fundamental functional importance: the anti-codon, which is responsible for specific mRNA codon recognition, and the 3' end, to which the tRNAs corresponding amino acid is attached (by aminoacyl-tRNA synthetases). tRNAs cope with the degeneracy of the genetic code in two manners: having more than one tRNA (with a specific anti-codon) for a particular amino acid; and 'wobble' base-pairing, i.e. permitting non-standard base-pairing at the 3rd anti-codon position.
Source: Rfam
GGCCGGCUGGCCCAAUGGCAAGGCGUUUGACUACGAAUCAAAAGAUUGCAGGUUCGAUCCCUGCGUCGGUCA